GCGCAGGAAGCAAGCUGAUCCCCUUCGGGGGUGACGCUUGUGGAAUGAGCGGCGGACGGGUGAGUAACACGUGGGCAACCUGCCUGUAAGACUGGGAUAACCCCGGGAAACCGGGGCUAAUACCGGGUAAUACCUGACUCCGCAUGGAGUCGGGUUGAAAGAUGGCUUCUUGCUAUCACUUACAGAUGGGCCCGCGGCGCAUUAGCUAGUUGGUGAGGUAACGGCUCACCAAGGCAACGAUGCGUAGCCGACCUGAGAGGGUGAUCGGCCACACUGGGACUGAGACACGGCCAGACUCCUACGGGAGGCAGCAGUAGGGAAUCUUCCGCAAUGGACGAAAGUCUGACGGAGCAACGCCGCGUGAACGAUGAAGGUCUUCGGAUCGUAAAGUUCUGUUGUCAGGGAAGAACAAGUACCGUGCGAAUAGAGCGGUACCUUGACGGUACCUGACCAGAAAGCCACGGCUAACUACGUGCCAGCAGCCGCGGUAAUACGUAGGUGGCAAGCGUUGUCCGGAAUUAUUGGGCGUAAAGCGCGCGCAGGCGGUUUCUUAAGUCUGAUGUGAAAGCCCCCGGCUCAACCGGGGAGGGUCAUUGGAAACUGGGGAACUUGAGUACAGAAGAGGAGAGUGGAAUUCCACGUGUAGCGGUGAAAUGCGUAGAUAUGUGGAGGAACACCAGUGUCAAAGUCGU
Molecule: ribosomal RNA, 692 nt
Filed under: Halobacillus sp. H432
Lineage: Bacteria; Bacillati; Bacillota; Bacilli; Caryophanales; Bacillaceae
Description: bacterial SSU rRNA
Rfam family: Bacterial small subunit ribosomal RNA
Source: RNAcentral